RNAcentral lists this long non-coding RNA (799 nucleotides) under Equus caballus (horse). RNAcentral describes it as "lncRNA (ENSECAG00000046744.1)". The record is from RNAcentral. Lineage: Eukaryota; Metazoa; Chordata; Mammalia; Perissodactyla; Equidae.
GCUUUCCACAAACCACUCCAGCAAAUAAAGUCUCCUCUCUGAGUGCCUAAUCUUCUCCCGGUAAGCAGAAAGAGAGUGGGGCAUAAACUGCUUUCUUCCACCGCUGCCCCCAGAGGACCCCACAGUCCCACUCACGUGGCCCGUGGAGAGACCGAAACGAGACAAAUGAUACCUUGGCGAUGACUGGAGAAUCUUACGCAGAGAAAUUUAUUACGUUUUGGAAAAGUUCCGGGCAGUGGUUUUUAUCAUUAGAUCCUUUAUGCUCUUCAAGUUGCAUAAGACGCUCUGACUUCUUUUUCUUGUCGAAGCAUAACUUCCAGGUCAGCUUUAGCUGUUCAGGUGGGCAAGCCACAGCUUUUUGCUGUUGGAGGAGGUGAGGCUGACAGAAAGAGAAGAUAACCCUUAUAGUGGAGGACCUGGAAGAGAUCAUCCUCUGGAGUCAGGCAGUGAACGGUACAUGAUUAUAUCUUUUAGACACUUGUCACCUCAGAAUGCCUACCAGUUAUCAGGAACUAUGAACAUAUUCUUCUUGUACUGCUGGGGAAAACUCAGAUCUGUGACAGAAUUCCUUCCAUUGUCUCGAGAGCAAAUGCAGCAACAACUCACAUUUAUUGAGCACUUACUCAUCUAGACGCUUUACCUCAUUUUGUCUUCACCACCUUCUCAGGAAGGUACUACUGCCAGCCCCAUUUUACAGACACAUGAAGAAUGCAGGACAAGAUGACCUUUGAGGGAGCUUGCAGCCCUGUGAUUUCAUGUGACUGCUUCACUGGUAAGUAUCCCUUGAAAACGAUGUCAG